AUACGGAGGGUGCAAGCGUUAAUCGGAAUUACUGGGCGUGAAGCGCGCGUAGGCGGCUCAGUCAGUCGGAUGUGAAAGCCCCGGGCUCAACCUGGGAAUUGCAUUCGAUACUGCUGAGCUAGAGUAUGGAAGAGGGAAGUGGAAUUCCGGGUGUAGCGGUGAAAUGCGUAGAUAUCCGGAGGAACACCAGUGGCGAAGGCGACUUCCUGGGCCAAUACUGACGCUGAGGUGCGAAAGCGUGGGGAGCAAACAGGAUUAGAAACCCCAGUAGUCC
RNAcentral lists this ribosomal RNA (274 nucleotides) under uncultured bacterium. Its description in RNAcentral is "partial 16S ribosomal RNA". It matches the Rfam family "Bacterial small subunit ribosomal RNA", at positions 523 to 796 of the family's 1533-position model. The record is from RNAcentral.